GAUGAACGCUAGCUACAGGCUUAACACAUGCAAGUCGAGGGGCAGCAUGGUCUUAGCUUGCUAAGGCCGAUGGCGACCGGCGCACGGGUGAGUAACACGUAUCCAACCUGCCUUAUACUCCCGGACAGCCUUCUGAAAGGAAGAUUAAUACGGGAUGGUAUCACGGGCCAGCAUUUUCUCGUGAUUAAAGAACUUCGGUAUAAGAUGGGGAUGCGUUCCAUUAGAUAGUAGGCGGGGUAACGGCCCACCAAGGCGAUUAUGGGUAGCCGGGUUGAGAGACCGACCGGCCACAUUGGGACUGAGACACGGCCCAG
RNAcentral lists this ribosomal RNA (314 nucleotides) under uncultured bacterium. RNAcentral's name for it is "bacterial SSU rRNA". It matches the Rfam family "Bacterial small subunit ribosomal RNA", at positions 28 to 334 of the family's 1533-position model. The record is from RNAcentral.